AAGAGAAGGAUAUAGGGGUCCCCUGUGGAUGUCCUUAAGGGUCCACUUUCUGCCCUUCUCUGCAGUUUCCAGGUCCAGAGAGGUUGGCAGAUCUGUGCUGACCCCAGUCAGUACUGGGUCCAGGAAAACAUCACUGACCCGGAACCGAACUCUGGAAGGGUCUGGAGGCUCCAAGGAAGUGUAACAUCUAUGGGUCAAAUGAGGAGAUGUUUGACUGUGCAGUUCUGAGAGCCUUCUCCUCUGUGGCCCCACCCUAAAGCCUACCCAGCCUCUAGGUUCCUCUUUGACUUUAGUCUUGCUUAUGUAUCUCAUUUUGUGCUUGCACCAUAUUUUUGUUUUGAAAAGGUAUUAUGCAAUGACCACGGUGUGGAUAUCUCAUGGUUUGCUCUUCGUCCUUUCCCCCUUCCCUUCAGCUUCUUCUCAGACAACCUCUACCAAUCACUGAGUGUGAUUAGCUUUCUGAGGGAGAAUUUGAACCACAUAUAUGAAGCAACAAAUGCUUAUUGAAUAGCUUGACUUGGUGUUGCGUUUAGCACAUUAAAGGUGCUUCAAUAAAAUGCCAGAGAGAUUUUUCAUUAUGAUUAUUCUUGAUUUUGUUUUCCUCACAAAUCAGAAUCACAGAUGAACAGGGAUACUGCAAGAGGACAUGGAAAUAUGAGCUCACAACAGCAAGCCAUGUUUCCCAGGGAAUGCUUUCCUGAGAAAUUGAAGCUGACCUCAGUAGUUUAUAAAGUGGAUCAUAAUUGACACGGUCUAGGGCAGCGGUUCUCAACCUGUGGGUCGUGACCUCUUAGGUGGGGGAUCAAAUGACCCUUUCACAGGGGCCACCUAAGACCACUGGAAAACACAGAUAUUUACAUUCCAAUUCAUAGCAGUAACAAAAUUACAGUUAUGAAGCGGCAUUGAAAUAAUUUUAUAGUUGAGGGGCGGUCGCCACGACAUGAGGGGCUGUAUUAAGGGGUGGAGGACCACUGGUCUAGAGAAACGCUCCACUGGAAUGAAUACCAAAGUGGUGUAUUCUGUGUGUGCACACAAGCAUGUUUCCAAAGUGGCGUAUUCUGUGUGUGCACACAAGCAUGUUUCCAUGGAUGAGCAACAGCUGACGUUUGUUGAGAACUUGUGAGGUGCGGGGUUCUGUGUCCAGUGCUUGCUAAUAUUAGUGCCAGCCUAGCAAACCCACCUGCAGGAGGGAACACUCCCUGCUGGUCGUUGCCCCAGAGGCAUAGCAAUAUCCCCUGCAGUGCACUUUGUUUCCUAGGAGAACGUUUUCCAUAGUCGUCUCUGUGGUGAGGCUCAGGUGGCAAACGAAAAUACAGAAUGAAAACUUUAAGGAUAAUAUAUAUAUAUGCCUCAUGAAUAUUCAGAAUAUAUAGAAAUUGCUGGGUCUUUCUGCACUGUCCCCAGCCACCCUCUUUGGAGUGAAUACCUCUUAUGCAGGCACCUGUUUCCUGAUGCAGACACCUGCCCAAAGGGUUGGCUUAACUGUAGAGAGCUAAUUCCAAAGUCGGGCUCACAUUCAAGUCAGUCAGGAUCUUUCCCCAAGUCCAAUGCUGGUGCUUACUCCCAAAGUCACAAACUUCAUUUGUACCUGGACCAGGUAACUUUAGGUCUCCUCCGGGGAUAUUAAAGGAAAUCAACACCGAGAACCACAACAGGUUUACAAUAUGGACUGAGUCGGAGGCAAGUCAGGGCAGUUUCUUCGGAGCUUCAGUGCCUGAGACCUGUGGGCUUUAAUUCUGCUGUAUGGCCAAUGAGAGACACAGCUCCAUACACAGCGUACGUCUCCAGCAGGUUUGGGAGUCUCCCUGAGACCUGGCUAUCCUCUAGUUUCUCCUGGUUAUUGAUUUCCAUCCCCACAUCACCCCUGGCUGGUGGAAUAGUGUCAUGGGCAGGGCGGGCUGAUGUGAUUGCUCCCUGACUGUUGUACACCAGCUGCACCUUCACAAAGACCACAAUUGUUUGUUGUGAUGGUUAGGUCUACGGUGUCAACUUUAUAGAGCUAAGUAUUACCUACAUAAAACGUUAUCCCUGCGUGUCUGGGAGGUGUUUCUAGAGGGGGAUGGAUUAGCAUUCAAAUCAGAGGGCGACCUGAAUCUGAUCCCUGGAAUCCUUCCACAAAGUUGUCCUUCACCUCCACACCACACAUGCGACUUGGCAUGCGCAUGCCCAUGCAUGUGUAUCACACAAAAUGAUGAUGACGAUGAUAGCAAUAAUAAUAGGAGAAGUAGUAAAGUUAAAUAAAUUUUGAGAAUUUAACUCUCAAAAUUUUGAAAAUGUUAAUUGGAAGGAAAGUUUUGACUGCUUGUGACCAGAAAGUGAUGAAUAAGCCAGAGAUGCUCAGGCGGAGCCAAUGACAGGAGAAAACUAAGUACCCUGUAGUCUACUCUACAAGGGUCAGGGGAGGUUAGGCUAGCCCAGGUAGCAGAACCCAGCAGGUUUUUGUUAUAUAUACAAGUUUCCUGUUCACGUAUGAUCUAUGUGGGUUAGGUAAUUGGGUUUCAAUAUUCAGUUACACCAGAAUCCUCUUUAGGGUUUGUGUCAAAAGAGUCCCAGAAUUCUCCCAGGAUACAGGUUGGGACAUGGCUCAAGCUUCUGUCUUUCUAGUGAGCACUUGGGCAAUGCUGCUACAGUGGGACCAAGGACUACUCUGUGUGAUCCCCAGCUCAUAGCGGCUCUCCUCCCAGUGGUGACUCGGGCCUUCAGGAUGCUCCAUCUUCACUUGCAGACUCUGUGAGGGGAAGGACUUGAAAGGCGCACUGACUUAACUGUGUUGGUUCAGAAGUGACACAUUUUACUCAGGCUUCCAGUUCAUGGGUUGGCCAUAAUUGGUCACAUGAGCUUCCUGGUAGUGAGAUGAACCCCCAAAUAUUAGCCAGGGUAAGCUCCAUCUUCAACAAGCUUCCAUGCCGCUGAACUACUUGCCAGACUGAAGCAAAGCAAGCCUCCCACAGCCAGACAGUGUUUGCUGAGGUCAGCAAAGUGUCCCGUAAGGGCAGGGAGAGAGCACACUGAGACAUGUCACCGCUAGAGUCUGGUUUGCCUCAGCCUGUUGUCACCUCUGCAGCUUUAAGGCUAGCUAGCUCAAAGCUCUGAACCUAGGCUCGCACCAACCCUGCUGCAAAGUCACAGCCAUUGAAACUAAGAGCUUAGUAGGUAGGGUGGCUGGUGACUUCAGGAAAAUACUGCCAUUUCGAGUUUUCCACUGCUCUGUAAGAAACUCCCAAGAAACUCAUUUUACUUAUCCAGAGGAAUUUAUACAAUGGCUAACACUGAUUGUCAACUUGACAGGAGCCAGAUUCACUGAAGAGACAAGGUUCUGGGCAUUUCUGUGAGGAAUUCUCUACAUUAGGUUAAUGGAGGCGGGAAGACCCACCCUGCAUGUGUUUGGGACCCUGAGCUGCACCGAAAGGAGAAGCUUGACUGAGAGCUGGUAUCAGUCUCUGCUGUGUCUCCUCAAACCGUCAGCCAAGACACACCCUUCCUCCUCAUCGGGCUUCUUGUCACAGCAAUGAGGAAAGUAACUUGUGUAGCAUGAAAAGUUGCUCUUUGUUCUUUCUCUGUGAGAACCGGUUUUGGAUGAAACAGACGUUAAUUCUUCAUCUCCCCGGGCAGUCACUCAACAGUCUUCCAGCCUCCUGAGUAGUCUCUUCUAUUUACGCACUAAAAAGUUGAAAGGGACCCAACCAAUGUGAACUCACAUGCUAGUAGAAUCAUUUACUUCCAUUUUCUCCCCCCCCUUAUUAUUACAGGAUGUCAGUUUAGUAUUCUUGUUGCAUACGGAUACUUCAUGAAAUAUUCUUGACUUUGCCCUUUUUGCAUUUUAUAAAAAAGGAUCUUGGCUCUGCCUGAUUUUCUUCUACUUAAAAACACAAUAUAGGCCUUACAUCCUCAGACUUUACCUGUAAAUAUUUUUAGCUUUGCAUCCACGUAGCUUCUGUCACAGCUGUUCAUUUCUGUCUUGCUAGUGAAGAAGUAAACACAACACUGAAUGAAUAGGCAUGACCCUAUUUCAAUAAAAUAUUAUAUUUACAAAUAUACAAUGUGCUGGAUUUCUUCUGAGGACCAGUGUUGGUGAGCUCUAAUCUAGGCAACUGGUUUAAUAGAAAUUUGACGGCAACAAAAGCAGUAUUUUUGUGUAUUGCUGUAGGUUGACUGAAUUUCCCGCAAAUGCUCAUGGAUCAAAGACUUAUUCACCAGCCUGUUAUGCUAUGGGGAAGUGGCUAAGGAAUUGCAGUCCUAGUGUGGCUUUGCUUCCUGAGCUGGUCACUGCCUCCCAGUGCGGGAAGUGCCGCUGAGUGGAUGGAUAGCCAGCUGCUUGUUCCAGCUCUUCUGAGGAACUCGAGCCUAAGAAGAGACUCACCCUGCAGAUCACACGUGACACGGGCUGAGGAACCUUAUUACUCAGAUGGCAGCUGGGAAGCAACUGUCCCAAACAGGACAAGAUUCAACCCUUCUUCUGAGAUAUAGGAAAUAGAAAGCUAAAGUCUUUUGGAAAGGAAACCACCCAAAACCUACAGCCUAAGGCAUUUUGAAAAUCCCUUAGGAAGUUGUUUCACAACAUGGCUACUUUUGUCUGUA
Alexandromys fortis (reed vole) is the source of this 4578-nucleotide long non-coding RNA. RefSeq lists it as uncharacterized. NCBI's taxonomy places the organism in Eukaryota, Metazoa, Chordata, Mammalia, Rodentia, Cricetidae. The record is from RefSeq and is a predicted model, not a curated record. The transcript is spliced from 2 exons.